This 72-nucleotide transfer RNA is filed under the name Cavia porcellus (domestic guinea pig). It matches the Rfam family "tRNA". From Rfam's summary of the family: Transfer RNA (tRNA) molecules are approximately 80 nucleotides in length. Lineage: Eukaryota; Metazoa; Chordata; Mammalia; Rodentia; Caviidae. The record is from Rfam by way of RNAcentral.
AGGGGUGUAGCUCAGCAGCACAGCACCUGCCUGGCAAGCAUGAGGUCGUGAGUUUGACUCUCAAUAUCCCCC